Molecule: long non-coding RNA, 1318 nt
Organism: Limulus polyphemus (Atlantic horseshoe crab)
Lineage: Eukaryota; Metazoa; Arthropoda; Merostomata; Xiphosura; Limulidae
Exons: 2
Source: RefSeq, a predicted model, not a curated record
UAGUUGCAUGUUGUCUUUUGAACUUUAUUAUUUUGGUUUUGAACUCCGUAUUAAGUAUUUUAUGUGUGUUUUAUAUAUCAUUAUAAACAUGUAUUUUUAAGAAAUAAAUUCUUGAAAUCAAAUUUCUGAACUUUUAAACUCAUCUAUAACUUCUUGUGUUAAACUUUUCUUUUUAUAGUUUUUGUUGCUUCCUAUGCAGUUUUAUACAACAUGUUAAAUAGCUUAAUAAUUCUCAUAGGUAUUAUGUAUAGUGUUUACACUUAUCAUCAUUACUGUACAUAAGUUUUCCAGUCAUGUUAGUAACUGUAUGUAAGGUGUAUGUUUGUCUUGGUAACUGUAAGGUGUGUGGUUGUCUUAGUAACUGUGUGUAAGGUGUGUGGUUGUCUUAGUAACUGUGUGUAAGGUGUGUGGUUGUCUUAGUAACUGUAUGUAAGAUGUGUGGUUAUCUUGAUUACUGUAUGUAAGGUGUGUGGUUGUCUUAGUAACUGUAUGUAAGGUGUGUGGUUGUCUUGGUUACUGUAUGUAAGGCAUAUCUUUGUCUUGGUAACUGUAUGUAAGGUGUGUGGUUGUUUUAUUAACUGUAACUAUAACUUGGUAAGUAAGAGUCUUAGAUAGUUAAUGUUUUAUAAAUAUUCAGGGGUAUAAAAAGUUUUUUACAUACUAGCUCUGCACUUGUAGUCAUGAGAAAUGUACUAGUCUAAAUUGAAAUUCAUCUAAUCCAACUGUUUAUGUUUUAUCACACUACAGUAGAUAAAUUAUUACACAUUGCAAAUAUAUACAUAUUUGUAUUCAUGGCAGUGACUUCUUCCACAAUAUUACAAGGAUAAAAAUAACAGGACUUACUAUAGCAAAUGUGAUGGAGAUGGAAAAUUUCUGUGCAGGUUAUUCAGUCUACAUAUGUUAUAAACUGGUAUUCCUGACAUGUGGAAAAUAAUAUGAUUUAAUUCAUAAUAUAUAAAAACAUCACAUGUCUGUGCAGGUUAUUCAGUCUACAUAUAUAAUGAAAUCAAAACAACCAAUGGGCAAUCUGACAUAUGAAACAACUCACCCUUUUCCUUCAGACUUAGUAAAAAAAGCUGCUGUUUUAUCUGGUAUCAUUUAAACUUUGCAUUGAAAAAAAUAAAUUCUAAUCUCAUGGGAAAAUAAUAAUGCUGAUUAGAAAGUGUUUUAAAUACAAAACUAAAUAAUUGAUCAUAUUAAUUUACAAGUUGGUAACUUAGUCAUGAAUAUACAUCAGGCUUACGAUGGAUUAGCCUAUUCUUGAUAAAAGGAUACCAUUCUUCAUUGGUAGUUGAUAGUUAGCAAGUGGAAAAAAAUU